UACGUAGGGUGCGAGCGUUAAUCGGAAUUACUGGGCGUAAAGCGUGCGUAGGCGGUCCGCUAAGUCUGAUGUGAAAGCCCCGGGCUCAACCUGGGAACUGCAUUGGAAACUAGCGGGCUCGAGUGUGGCAGAGGGGGGUGGAAUUCCGCGUGUAGCAGUGAAAUGCGUAGAGAUGUGGAGGAACACCGAUGGCGAAGGCAGCCCCCUGGGCUAACACUGACGCUCAGGCACGAAAGCGUGGGGAGCAAACAGG
This 253-nucleotide ribosomal RNA is filed under the name uncultured bacterium. Its description in RNAcentral is "partial 16S ribosomal RNA". It matches the Rfam family "Bacterial small subunit ribosomal RNA", at positions 524 to 776 of the family's 1533-position model. The record is from RNAcentral.